RNAcentral lists this long non-coding RNA (605 nucleotides) under Hordeum vulgare. RNAcentral describes it as "long non-coding RNA (HVUL_LNC017350)". Lineage: Eukaryota; Viridiplantae; Streptophyta; Magnoliopsida; Poales; Poaceae. The record is from RNAcentral.
GCCUAUAAAUAUAUAUGAAUUAUGAAAAUUUCACAUGUUUCAUGGAGGAAUUGAAAUUCGAGCCAUGACGUGCUACUAGUACUUGACGAGAUCCACAUACCCUUUUACGCAGCAACCUGAGAGUAUCGUACAAAAUCCAAGUGGAGUUACUCAUGCUAGGGUUGUAGCAACACUACAAUGAAGGUGCAUCCUGCUUCUUCAUAGAAUGUGCUUGAGCAAUCAACUACUUGGCCAGUCGCACCCAUUCUAGGUUUCUUUCGUUACCGUGAGGUUAAAGCCAGUCCAUCUUAGCAACAUGAUUCUAGUGGGUGUCUUUCCUCCGAAGACAAUGACACAACCGGUAACAAAUAGAGGACAGACGGGCUGAUGGAGGAAGGGAUGCGAUGUGAGUGCAGAGUAACAACGCGGACAUUGUUGAGCGAGUUUGCAGAAGCGACGGUGAUGAUACCUCUCACCGCUCGAACGAUGAUUUGAUGCAGCUCUGCUCUAGACUUUCCUUUGUUGCUGCUUUUGUUUAUCUAUAAAAAUGAUAUGGAUAUGGGACCUGCGGCUUGAGCCCAAUUUACCGGGCAGGUCCAUACAAGCCGGGCUCGACUUUAACAUGC